AGAACGAACGCUGGCGGCAGGCUUAACACAUGCAAGUCGAGCGCCCCGCAAGGGGAGCGGCAGACGGGUGAGUAACGCGUGGGAAUCUACCCAAUCCUUCGGAAUAGCUCCGGGAAACUGGAAUUAAUACCGAGUACGCCCUACGGGGGAAAGAUUUAUCGGGGUUGGAUGAGCCCGCGUUGGAUUAGCUAGUUGGUGGGGUAAUGGCCUACCAAGGCGACGAUCCAUAGCUGGUCUGAGAGGAUGAUCAGCCACACUGGGACUGAGACACGGCCCAGACUCCUACGGGAGGCAGCAGUGGGGAAUAUUGGACAAUGGGCGCAAGCCUGAUCCAGCCAUGCCGCGUGAGUGAUGAAGGCCCUAGGGUGUAAAGCUCUUUCAGUGGGAAGAUAAUGACGUACCACAGAAGAAGCCCGGCUAACUCGUGCCAGCAGCCGC
Molecule: ribosomal RNA, 438 nt
Filed under: uncultured soil bacterium
Lineage: Bacteria
Description: bacterial SSU rRNA
Rfam family: Bacterial small subunit ribosomal RNA
Source: RNAcentral